UUCUAUGGCCAUGACACCCUGAACAAGCCUGAUGUCUGAUCUCAGAAGCUAAGUAGGGUCAGUCCUGGUUAGUACUUGGAUGGGAGGCCACCUAGAAAGACCAGGUGCUAUAGGCA
RNAcentral lists this ribosomal RNA (116 nucleotides) under Pteropus alecto (black flying fox). Lineage: Eukaryota; Metazoa; Chordata; Mammalia; Chiroptera; Pteropodidae. The record is from RNAcentral.